UGGGCCCCUCCCUUCAGUCAGACCCAUCCAGAGCCCCUUCUUGGCAGAUGACUGCUUACCCCGUGCCAUCUCCUUAACUGUACAUCGGGAGCCAAAAGUGCCAUAGCCACAACUCUCUGAAAAUACACCCCGACAUGAAGCUCUCCCAUUGGAAAUCAAGAGAUCUAUGUGAUCCUGGGAUGACAGUCACUCCCCAGCGACAACCCCUGUAGUCUCCCAACCUGCUCUGUGAAGGCAUCAAAGUUCUCCUGGCUCCAAAGACCAACCUCAAGUUUACUUGGCAUUUCACAAACACUUUUAAGGAAGUUUUUUAAAUUCUUGGAGAGAGACAAAGAGAACAAGCAGGGUGAGCUGCAGCGGGAGAGGGCGAAGCAGGCUCCCCACUGAGCAGGGAGCCCAAUGGAGGUCUCAAAGCCAGGUCCCUGGGAUCAUGGCCUGACCUGAAAGCAGGGGCCUCACUGACUGAGCCACCCAGUGCCCUUCCUUGAUCUUAUCAUCCAUCUGAGUGGUCGAAAUGUGGGUAGACCCAUUCAUCCCAUGUGGCGGCCAUGAAGAUGUCCCAUCUAACCAACUGUGGACAUGCGUGCCUACGUUAGGUGGAGUGAUCGACUGUCUGACACUCUGAUUACACUUGAGACCGAGACAGUGUAUCUACUGUAUUCUUUCAAUGACCUUAGUGCUUAGAAAUGUGUGUGCAAUCCUAGGCGCUUUAUCUCUAUUCUUGGAGAAAGGAAUCCCAACCAGCACUUUCCCUCUACUGAGUGGACCAUGGGCUGCUUUGCCUUCCCCAGUGACCUAUGCUCUGGCCACAUGAAGGAUAAGGAGCAGGGCCAGUUAGAUGGAAUCCCAGAAGUCUUUUGCAAACAGGAAAACGGCCUGCUUUCCUCGUGCUCUGUGCACCCAGGGUGCCACAGGCCAAAGUUGCAUCAGGCCAUCAGGAGUGGGGUGGUUUGUGUUGUGGAGGGAGUACCUUAAUGUCUCUUGGCCCUGUACAUACGGGGCACUGUAUUUGCAAAGCUGCUGCCAGGAGAUCCCGGAGGAGAUGUUCUGUGGCUUCAACUCUUCUAACUACCUAGACAGUGAUCAAGUGCACCAGGCAAACAAAGAGCAGUGCUGUUCUGAGUUGGAUGAUUACGGGUGACUCCAUGAAAUACUGGUCUUCCUAAAAGAUAUGAGUUGAGAGAAAUGAGGGUGUUGCUCAGCUACUGGAAUGUGUUGAAGUUGCCAAUGCUCUGCCCUGCGUCCCAACCAACCAAUGGUAUUUUGAAGCCUAGAACCUUUUUCUGUGUGGGCCCUGAAGUCCUUUGUCCUGCAAAACUUCCCGAGGUGAUGCGUGUCUCUGGGCUGAGCGCCAGUCCCUGUUCUUCCCAGUGGCCCGUGGUUUGGAAGCUGACUACAGUGCCCCUCCUUGUGUCUCUGGUGUGGAAAGGAAUCAUCCACCCUGACCCCGGGUGAGGCCUGGAUCAGGCGGACGCUCCGGGAAGGCAGAAUGGAUACUUUUGUACAGUCCUGCUGCGAUCCUUCCAGGAGAGGAGCCUCUCAGAAAACGCAGUCGUUUUCCGUGUCUACCAGGUGUUCAGCACAGCCCAAAGGGUCCUGGGCCAGCAGCUCCACAGGAGAGUGACCACCAUAUCCACAGCACAGGGCCCGAGGCUCGCCUCUACUGCCUGCAUGUUUCGGGAAUGUCACUGCACCUCCCUGAGCUUCCUUUUCCUCCUCUGAGAAGGGCUGUGGAAGAGGAUAACCUCAUGGGGCUACUGUGGGCAAUCCCGGCAGAAAACAUGGCCUAGACUUCUCUGCUCCCUGGCCCUGUCGCAAGGGCUGCUGGGCAUCUUCCUGUGGAGCAGCUGUCUCUCCCCUGUCGGCGUGGACGCGGCCCCGCGGCCUCCCGAGCCUCCCCGC
Long non-coding RNA from Canis lupus familiaris (dog), 1902 nucleotides. RefSeq lists it as uncharacterized. The record is from RefSeq and is a predicted model, not a curated record. Lineage: Eukaryota; Metazoa; Chordata; Mammalia; Carnivora; Canidae. The transcript has 3 exons.